CGCAAAGCUCAUUACAACAGCUAUAAUGUAUAUGAAUUUACUGAUAAAUGGAUAUCUGUGGUAAAUCUAGAGCUAAUACAUGCAUAAAAACCUUUUUGUUUUAACAAAUUGGUUAAAUUAUCGUUUCAAAACUAACGGGUUCGCCCUGUUUUGUUAACUCAUGAUAAUUAAUGACCGUUCUUUAAUGAAUGGAUAUUCAUAUUUGGUAUCUGCCCUAUCAACUAUAUGACAGUCUAUUGUACGGUCAUGGUUGUGCCGGGUAACGGAGAAUUAGGGUUCGUCUCCGGAGAGAAUGCCUUAGAAACGGCUUUCACUUCCAAGGAAGGCAGCAGGCGCGAAAAUUACCCAUUCUCAGAACGAGGAGGUAGUGACGUGAAAUGACAAGCUUUAAUUCUUACGAAUUGAAGCAUUGGAAUGGUUGAAUUUUAAAAUCAUUCAAGAUUAUCAAUGAGAGGGCAAGUCUGGUGCCAGCAGCCGCGGUAAUUCCAGCUCUCAUACUACAUUGAACUGCUGUUGCGGUUAAAAAGUUCGUAGUUGCAAAUGUACAUAUAAAUGUGGUUUAUCAUUUUAUUAUGGUAUAACUGCAUUUUGUGUUAUUUAUAUUUUCUUUACGGAAAAUAUAAUGAUACCCUGAGUAAAGCAAAGUGCUCAGAACAAGCUAUUGCUUGUAUGUUUUUGCUGGGAAUAUCAAACGAAUACAUUAGUUGACGUUUGUUGGUUUAACAGCUAUGUAAUGAUUAAUAGGGAUAAACGGGGGCAAACGUAUCGCAGGGGAGAGGUGAAAUUCGUUGAUCCUUGCGAGACGGCCUAUAGCGAAAGCAUUUGCCAAGAAUGUUUCUU
This 840-nucleotide ribosomal RNA is filed under the name Panagrolaimus paetzoldi. RNAcentral's name for it is "bacterial SSU rRNA". It matches the Rfam family "Eukaryotic small subunit ribosomal RNA", at positions 90 to 972 of the family's 1831-position model. The record is from RNAcentral. Lineage: Eukaryota; Metazoa; Nematoda; Chromadorea; Rhabditida; Panagrolaimidae.